Long non-coding RNA from Peromyscus californicus insignis, 2812 nucleotides. RefSeq lists it as uncharacterized. The transcript is spliced from 4 exons. The record is from RefSeq and is a predicted model, not a curated record. Lineage: Eukaryota; Metazoa; Chordata; Mammalia; Rodentia; Cricetidae.
AGGCGCGAGCCCGGGAGCGCGCGUGCCCGGAGCCUCCGCAGCGGCGGCGCUUACUACCCGCGGAGGCAACGGGGCACAGCUGGCUUUAAUUCUUUUUAACGCUGUUCCCCAGCUGUCUUUCCCUCGUUACCCGCCCCACGCUCGCACGUGGGUCUCCACCUGCUGUCCCAGUCGCCUCCAGCAGCCCGCCUCUGCCCUCACUAGGAGAGUCCCCCCGGCGCGCACAGGCGCCACCCUCUUCGCCUGGAGGCUCGGUCUUGCUUGGCAGAGCAAGGGGGCGCGCGUGAAGCCUCACGGGAGUUGUAGUUUUUCCCCUUUCCCGAGCUCGGAACGCCCGUUGCAAUCCCUGUUCUUCAGAGGGGAAAAGCACCACCCCAAGGCUGUUGGUUCCCUGAUGCUCCGUCCCUUUGCUUCCUAAUUGCGCUGCGCCUUGGUAGUUCCCUGCAUUAAGGAGGAUCAUGGGACUAAUCACAGCUCUGUGCUGAUUAUCUGUGUGAGCCUAGGCCUGGACACAGUUCUGACUACUGGAAGGUGUUUUCUUUUUCCGCUCGAUCACUGCUGAGUUUGGGUAUGGAUCUGGAAGACUGUCACCUCCUCUCAGUGUGAGUUCAGCGGUGUCCACCUCGGGGAUUCACAGCAUGUGCAAUGUGGCCAUCACAGGGAGCGGCUGCUGAGAGAGGGGAGUGUGUUAGCUGCCGGCCUCUAGUUGCUGUGCCUUCUGGAAUCCUCUGCAGUAUUACGGCAGCCCUACUUCACCCCAUUACAGUCUCCUCAGCUUUUUCUCUGCUGACUGAGCACCACACACAUGCCCAAUGUGGGGUUCCUCAAACAAGCAGUCUCAGAUCCCCAUCAUCAUCACUGCUAAGACUUUCUUAGACUGAAUGGCAGAUUUAGGCUCCCACUACCCAAUUUUCCUUCCUCUGCCUUUUUAAAUGGGUGCCGAAGCUACAUUACCUUCUGAAGCUCUCCCACCAACUCUGGACACCUCAUCCCUGGAUCCUUCCCACAUCCUUUUCCCCCCUCAGCUUACAGGUCAGCUGGGAUGAGGAUACCAAGAGAACUGCCUAAUGGAAGGAAUCUGUUUGCUUCUAACUUAUGACAUGAACAACCUCGGCACACAGAUCGAAGCCCAUGGGAACUUGUACUGCCCUAAAGCAAUCUGCAGAACAGAAUUUGUGAGAGCUAUCUAAGAGAUAUUUACUGCACUCCUUUAAAAAGGACAUAUUGCCGGGUGGUGGUGGCGCACGCCUUUAAUCCCAGCACUCGGGAGGCAGAGCCAGGCGGAUCUCUGUGAGUUCGAGGCCAGCCUGGGCUACCAAGUGAGUUCCAGGAAAGGCGCAAAGCUGCACAGAGAAACCCUGUCUCGAAAAAACAAACAAACAAACAAAAAAAAAAAAAAAAAAAAAAAAGGACAUAUUAUCAAAUCCCUUUAGGCAGUGUUCUCUAUUCCAUCUGACUUCGGGAUUCAAGCUGCAGAGAGAAAAAUCUCUGAAACUCUGAAAAUGUUGUCUAUUUUACCUACCCAGUGUUUAGAAACUUAGGGGGUUGUUGAUAGAAACUUCCGUUCAAAUAAAAUCUAUUCUCAUCGUCCAUAACACACUUGGGAAAUGCUGGGAACAAAGCAAGUCUCAGUGGUGGUCCUGACUCUGCCAGAAUUUGCAGUUUUGCUUUUCCUUGAACUUCAAUUCCCUCAUCUGCAAAACAAGAGAAUUAGAAUCAGUGAUUGAGAGGGAAAAUGAUUAUACUUUAUACAUGCCUGUUCCAUGCAAAACGUGGUUAUGCCAGCAGACCAUAAGAGCCCCAUACUCUAUCGUUCACUAGUUUAUCUACUUUAUCUGUGUGUGUGGGGGGGGGGGAGGUGUUGUGCGAGUAUAUGCAUGUAGAUGCCAGAGACCAGCAUCAGGUGUUGGCCUCUAUCGGUCUCUCCCUUCUUUCUGCCAACUCUUUAGGGACAGGGUCUCUCACUGAGCCUGAGGCUUAUCAGUUCAGCUAGUGGGAUCUGCCUGUCUUUGGCCUCAGAAUUACAGGGACACGCGGCCUCACACAGCCUGUGGGUCUGGGAAUCCGGACUCAGGUCCUUACGAUUAUGCAGCAAGCACUUUACCCUUGAGCCAUUUUUGAGACAGGGUCUUGCUCUAUAACCCAGGCUGGCCUCAACCUCGAUCCUCCUGCCGUCACUUCAGAAUGCUGGUAUGAUAGACCCGAACCAGUACACCCAAAUCCCUGCUGUUGGCUUGGUACUCGGCUGUUACCACCUUCUUAAUGAUUUUCAAAAAGGGGCCCCACAUUUUUAUUUUAUAAUGGUCAUGGAAAUUAUACAGUUUGUCUAUGUACCAUUAUAUCUAAUACUUAUAUCAAUUUAAUGAGAAUGGAUGUAUAUAUCUAUGGCAUGUGGAUAUGGAAAUUAAGAAUCUGACUGGUUAAAAUAAAUUGCUCCAGGUCACAAGAGAAGUGAUGAGCAGAGCCAGGGUUCUAGUCUCCUCCAUCUUCUCUGAAGCCUUUGUUCUCCCACUACGCCAGCUGCCAGGGAAAACACUCGACAAUUCUAAGAAUCUUUUGUUCUGUAAACUACUAGAUCUGUCUAUUAGACAAAAUAGUUUUAUUUAUCCCACUUACUGUCACAGAACUUGAUGGUUCAGUGAAUUAAUGAGUAAUAGACUAAACAUCAGAUGACAGGUCUAGAAGUUAGCCAUGAAGUCCAGCAUGUCUUAUUCUACCAUUACUAUAGUACAUGUGUCCUUGGCCAGCCCAGUUUAAUUCUUUGAGUCUUGUUGUUUCUUCAUGGGUAUGUUGUGAGGAUUAAACAAAACAA